CGCCGCCGCCACUGCGGAUCUGCCGUCGUCGCGGGUCCGCCUCAGCCGCCGUCGCCGAGAACCUCCCCCAGCCUCCGACACCGAUUUCCGACAGAUCCUCAAGGCUGCGAUUUUAGUGAUGGAUUUGGGGGCUGUCACCGUCGACUCCGGACUGCCGAAGAGCACAGAAUCGUACUCACGAGAUAAGUUUUCCAACUAAGUGAUUAUUAUUAGUUGUAGGACUUAAUUGUCUAUUUUAUAAAUUUGGUGAAUUUUGAACAAUCGUGUCUACCGAGAAGACUUAAUGGUGAAACAAGUUAAUCUUGGUGUUUAUUGUUAACAUUUGGGCAGAUUCUUCUUCCAACUACAUAUAUGCAUGCUUGUACAUAGAUGAAAGAAAAGAAAGGCUUGGUGUUUACCUUUUGAUGUGGAAGUUAAGUGUUGUUGGAUGGUAGUGUUUCACUCUACGAAUUGUGUGAAAUUCUCCUUCCUCAAACUCCUAUAUCCAUGUUGGCUUUGUGUGUGCAGACAACUUAGGAUUACUUAGGAUUUGAGGGUGAUGUGUGUGUGAGGUAAAGAAAAAUGAUUGUAUACAAUACAUAAAAGGUGGCAUUGAAAGUGACGUGUAGCAAGUUGGUGUAGCAAGUUGCAUGGUAUUCUUAUCUCUAA
Molecule: long non-coding RNA, 648 nt
Organism: Salvia splendens (bonfire salvia)
Lineage: Eukaryota; Viridiplantae; Streptophyta; Magnoliopsida; Lamiales; Lamiaceae
Exons: 2
Source: RefSeq, a predicted model, not a curated record